GCUCAGCUGAAGGCCCAACACAAAUAGGGAAAAGGGUAUAGUGACUCAGUUUCACUCUCAUUUUAAUUUCUCUCCAUCAUACAUGCUCUCUCCUUCCCUUUUAAGACUUACCUCGCCAGAAAUCGCUCUGUCAUGCCAGAGGUGGCGGAGCAACCCAGCCUAGCCAAAACAACCACCAAUCAGAUGGUUUUUACCUCCUUCAUUCACCUCUUACCCUUAAUUCAACUAAAAAAGCCUCUGAAUCCUUCGUUUCAAUCAUAACACCUCAAGAACCCUAAAAAUUCUAAACCAAAAUUAAAUGGCUACCAUCCACAUAUCCGUGUUAAUACCUUAAGGCUAUUACUUAGUAACUCAAGGGCUACAAAGAGGUAACAAAUUUGAAGCAAAAUUAGGAAGAAUAAAGGAAGCUACUUGCAAAGCGGAGAAUUACCCUGGGGAUUGUUGAAGUUGCUUGAAGAAGAUGAUGCAUAGAGAAAAUACCAGAGAAUUGAUCAGGGUGAACUUGGCUUGGCAUGAAGAUGUAGUCAUCAAGAUUGGAAUGGAAUUUAAAAGUUGGAAUGAUAUCAUGGACAAGGAAAGAUUUUGGAUUGCAUCAAGAACAUGGAUCAAUGGAAUGUCUUGAGGAUGAAGACAAAAGUAGGCUAGGGUUAGUUUAACUUUGGUCAACUGUUUGACCAAAAUUCAACUUUAGGUUAAAAAAGGAUUUUUCUGUAUGUAAUUUGUGGUUUUAAUUUUGUAAUGAAAUUUGAUAUUUGUAAUGAGAUUCUUGGCCUUUGAAUAGCCAUUUUCCACAUGAUUUCUCAAGAAUAA
Molecule: long non-coding RNA, 810 nt
Organism: Lathyrus oleraceus (garden pea)
Lineage: Eukaryota; Viridiplantae; Streptophyta; Magnoliopsida; Fabales; Fabaceae
Exons: 2
Source: RefSeq, a predicted model, not a curated record